This 629-nucleotide long non-coding RNA is filed under the name Fukomys damarensis (Damara mole-rat). RNAcentral's name for it is "lncRNA (ENSFDAG00000024154.1)". Lineage: Eukaryota; Metazoa; Chordata; Mammalia; Rodentia; Bathyergidae. The record is from RNAcentral.
GCCAUUUUGCCUACAACAGGUGAAAUUUGUGGUCCUUAUGAGAGGUAGAAACAACAGUUUAAAAUGCCUGAACCAACGCAGGACUAAUUCAUUGAGUUUUGAGAAAUCUAAAAAUAAAUCUCAUGCUUCACAGGGCUAAGACCUGUGAGUUAAAGAAUAUGGAUUUGAGUACUGGCCUGGCCUUUAUUAACUUUCCAUCUUUGAGCAGAGUUUUCGACCUCGCUGAUUCUUGGUGUUUUCGUCUCCCCACAGCAGGAACAUUUGCUGAGCAUUUCUGAUGAAUCCGCAUUUUUGCUAAGCUCUCAGAAAUAAAAAAAUACAGCUGAAUGAAGAAGGCUCUACUUCCUGUUCCAGGAUUCUUACAGCUUGACUGGAAAAUGAGGGGGACUGGCUGCAGAAGGCCGCCGAGCUGGCCAGAAGCACAGUGCCCACGGUGUGGACAGCAGGAAGUGGUGCCUGUAGCAGCUCAAAACCUAUCCAUAAAGACAGAGUUUGGUCUCAUACAAGUGAAGAUUCCUGAUUUUUUUGUUUCUGAUAGCUCCACUUCUGGAUUUAUUAAAACUUUAAGGUACUUUUCUUGAGUAUAUACUCUGUGAAGAUUUUACAAAGAAAUGUUAAUAGUGGUAUGU